GUUAACCAAAACGCAGCAGCUAGUUUAACAAAACUAACAGCUCUUUCAAGAUUAUGUGGUAGGUGGUGCAUGGCCGUUCUUAGUUCGUGAAGUGAUUCGUUCGCCCAAUCGCAUUUCCAAACAACUAACAACUCAGAAUGCUGGGCAAUAGGACGUUUAAAGUGGCUCCUUACACCUUACAAAGGAAUGGCUGAUGAGAAACAACUCGAUCCGCUCAGCGUUCUAUUGGAAUGCAACGGACGUGAUUGCAAGCUUUUGUUUUGAGUUGCGGUUUUACUGAAAGACUCUACAAUCCGCAAACUUCAAUGAUCUGAAGUAGAAAACCUACAUGCUACAGUGAGAUAUUGUGGAUAAACUUAAGCGACCGCUCCAACAUUGUGUUUUUUUAAAACUGAUGAAGGUUGCGGCAAUAACAGGUCUGUGAUG
Molecule: ribosomal RNA, 426 nt
Filed under: Globigerinoides sacculifer
Lineage: Eukaryota; Foraminifera; Rotaliida; Globigerinidae
Description: bacterial SSU rRNA
Rfam family: Eukaryotic small subunit ribosomal RNA
Source: RNAcentral